CUAAUAGAAUGUUGGUCAAAAGAUCAACGUUGUUUGUUAAAACCAUAACUAGAGUUUUUUCAUUUUGCCCCACCUAUUCAUUCACUAGUGAAUACAAGCAGCUGUUAUCUCAAACUUACCUUUCUUCAAUUGUUUACUCUUUUCCAAUCUGUUCUCCUUUUCUGAUCUAUUUCGCUUUGGAAACUUAAAACAAAGUGAGACUACUUUGUCUAUCUCUAUUUCCUACACUUGACCAAUCUUCUACUUCAGUUAUCAAGUAUAACUUUCCCAUAAUACCCACUUUUCCAUAGACUCUAUUCUCUUUAGUCUUGCAAGCUUCCCUAUCUGCAAUUCUGUGUGUAUUUGUCUCCCACUGCAUAGUAUGGGCAGACAAUUGAACUGGCAGUGCGUCAUCACAGAGCCACUUUAAAAUUCAGCUUCUUGUAUUAAGCUCCAGAAUUAUAAUAAAUAUCCAACUGCUUGGACCUUGAUAGAAUGAAUAAAGCGUUUCUCCAUAUUCCAUCAUUCUCCUUCAUGCCAUCCACAGUUCUGUAAUGCUUUUUAAUGCAUGAUGUGCAGUAAGAGGACAUCUAGAUUCUGUGAAGCACUUACCCUCUCGAUGGAAAUGAUCUCCCUAACCUGUUCAAUUAUCACGGGUCACCGGGAUGGGAGACGAACACCCACCGAAUAGUG
This is a non-coding RNA of Pelobates cultripes (western spadefoot toad), 672 nucleotides long. NCBI's taxonomy places the organism in Eukaryota, Metazoa, Chordata, Amphibia, Anura, Pelobatidae. The record is from the annotation of a GenBank genome assembly.